CAGCUGUAAACGAUGCAGGCUAGGUGUUUGGACGGCCACGUGCCGUUCUAGUGCCGCAGGGAAGCUGUUAAGCCUGCCGCCUGGGGAGUACGAUCGCAAGAUUGAAACUUAAAGGAAUUGGCGGGGGAGCACCACAAGGGGUGAAGCUUGCGGUUUAAUUGGAGUCAACGCCGGAAAUCUCACCGGAUAGGACAGACAUAUGAUAGUCGGGCUGAAGACUCUACUUGAUGAUCUGAGAGGUGGUGCAUGGCGUCAGUGACU
RNAcentral lists this ribosomal RNA (261 nucleotides) under uncultured archaeon. Its description in RNAcentral is "partial 16S ribosomal RNA". It matches the Rfam family "Archaeal small subunit ribosomal RNA", at positions 748 to 1008 of the family's 1478-position model. The record is from RNAcentral.